CCAGAUCAUCUGCUUAGAACAAAUGUGGCUGGACAAUGUGAUAUUCUAAUUCCACAGAUUGAGUAAUUCAAGAAUUUCAGAGAUGCAACAAGGACGGAAUUACUGUCCUCAUUCUAGCUUUAGAAGGCAGGCAUGCAAGUACCUAGAGAAAGAGAACAGAUGAAAGCUGGCAGCCUCUUCAUUUACAGACAGUACAAUUUUCUGAAUUUAGCAAGACUCUUCCUUUCCCCCAAGAACGCUCUAUGACAUCUCUUAAAAGAAGAAGAAAAGGAAAUGUACCAAAUUAUGUUUACAGGCUGGUGGAGAGAACACAUCUAAGUGGAGUGAGGCCUUGCUUUUUCUUCAGGAAUCCCAAGGCCGAACACCACAUGGAAGCCUCCAAGGCUUGGGGCCUGCCCUCUCUGAAGCGAUGUCCCGAGCUAUACCUUGGGCCCUUUUAG
Callithrix jacchus (white-tufted-ear marmoset) is the source of this 440-nucleotide long non-coding RNA. The record is from Ensembl. Lineage: Eukaryota; Metazoa; Chordata; Mammalia; Primates; Cebidae.